Molecule: ribosomal RNA, 692 nt
Filed under: uncultured Bacilli bacterium
Lineage: Bacteria; Bacillati; Bacillota; Bacilli
Description: bacterial SSU rRNA
Rfam family: Bacterial small subunit ribosomal RNA
Source: RNAcentral
ACAUGCAAGUAGAACGCUGAAGGAGGAGCUUGCUCUUCUGGAUGAGUUGCGAACGGGUGAGUAACGCGUAGGUAACCUGCCUGGUAGCGGGGGAUAACUAUUGGAAACGAUAGCUAAUACCGCAUAACAGUAGAUGUUGCAUGACAUUUGUUUAAAAGGUGCAAUUGCAUCACUACCAGAUGGACCUGCGUUGUAUUAGCUAGUUGGUGGGGUAACGGCUCACCAAGGCGACGAUACAUAGCCGACCUGAGAGGGUGAUCGGCCACACUGGGACUGAGACACGGCCCAGACUCCUACGGGAGGCAGCAGUAGGGAAUCUUCGGCAAUGGACGGAAGUCUGACCGAGCAACGCCGCGUGAGUGAAGAAGGUUUUCGGAUCGUAAAGCUCUGUUGUAAGAGAAGAACGAGUGUGAGAGUGGAAAGUUCACACUGUGACGGUAUCUUACCAGAAAGGGACGGCUAACUACGUGCCAGCAGCCGCGGUAAUACGUAGGUCCCGAGCGUUGUCCGGAUUUAUUGGGCGUAAAGCGAGCGCAGGCGGUUAGAUAAGUCUGAAGUUAAAGGCUGUGGCUUAACCAUAGUACGCUUUGGAAACUGUUUAACUUGAGUGCAAGAGGGGAGAGUGGAAUUCCAUGUGUAGCGGUGAAAUGCGUAGAUAUAUGGAGGAACACCGGUGGCGAAAGCGGCUCUCU